CGCCGGGCUCGGGGUUUGGCUGCUCCCCUUCUUGGGUGGUGGGCCCUUCGUGUGAGGAGUGAAGAGAAAAUAAUCUUGACUCCAUAUUUCAGAAGCCUGAUUUAUUAUAUUAUGGUAUAUGUUAUAUUAAAAUGAUAUAUUAAAGCUGCACUAAAAGAAUAGAGAGCAAAGGAUCCAUCAGAAGGCUGGAAAGGACAAAAAGGGAACGAUAGCAAAAGCGACUCCGAGAGUCGGAGCCAGCUGAUUGGGGUUGGCCGUUAAUUAGGAACAACCAACAGAAACCUGUUGGUAACAGCGCCCAGAGCACCUCCACAGCCAUCAUACUGCUCAUUGUUUUCGUUUCUUUCCUGAGGAUUCUCAGCUGGAACAGAACAAUCCCAGCAAAGGAUUUUCCAUAAAUCAUGGCCCAGCCAUGGUGGCGGAGGCUCUGCAGCCAAAGGGGUGGAACGGGGCAGCUCUGGGAGGAAAGGACGAAAGGAAACCAGAGGGCAAUCCCUCAGGAAGGAGAGCACAGGGCAGGGAACAGGGAAUGUGAAUUUGGAAAGCCUGGAGCACGCCACGGCGCUGAAUGAAACUCCCCCAGAGAACACAGGACCCUGUGAAGGGAAAGCUGCAGUGGAGGAAGUUCCACAAUGGACACUCACCAGCAACCCAAAGAGACCAGAAAUCCUCUAAUAAAAAGGGGAAAAAUAAAAUAAUAAAACCCU
Long non-coding RNA from Passer domesticus (house sparrow), 707 nucleotides. RefSeq lists it as uncharacterized. The transcript has 3 exons. The record is from RefSeq and is a predicted model, not a curated record. NCBI's taxonomy places the organism in Eukaryota, Metazoa, Chordata, Aves, Passeriformes, Passeridae.